Molecule: non-coding RNA, 85 nt
Filed under: Blautia hansenii DSM 20583
Lineage: Bacteria; Bacillati; Bacillota; Clostridia; Lachnospirales; Lachnospiraceae
Source: RNAcentral
GAGCGCCGUGUGCGGGGAAACUCGCACGCACGGUGCGGAGUGGGGGAAAAUUCGGAGAUAACUUCAAAGAAUUACCUAUCACUAU